AUGUUUGUGCGAAUAUAGUAAUAACCCAGGUGGAGAAUCCCCGCAUUUCUGCGUUUUUCCCCAGUUCCUCAGGAGGGCCCUGGAAAUAUAUUUUUAUUCUCUGCCCAAAUUGUUUAGGAUGUGUCGUGAUUUCACUGUAACCUGUACAAACCUACCAGAUUACACUUCCUAUUCAUGUGAUCAUGGUGUUUGAAUAAACUGACCGUACAAGUUGAAUUAUACACAAAGAGCUCAGCAUCUCAGAAUUUGGAGAUAACCAUUGCAACUCAGGAAUAGAUGUGACUGCUGUAAGAGCUUAAAAUCUAGGGACCAUUACAAUAAGUGUUCCCCUGAUAACUUGUGCUCGAAGAGCGAAUUCUCAGCAUUUCAUAUUGUAGUUAGUACGUAUUACUGAGGCGUUAUAAUAUGUUUUUGUUUCUGGCAUACUUCACCCAAAAUGCUGUCCUCAGCAUCCAUUCACUUAGUUGCAUGUCUGUUACGUGUUCUAUGGAAACUCAUUUCAACAUUUUCUUUAGACUUUGACUUUUUUUCAAAUCUUGGGCACUUGAAAAACUGAGUUUAGAUUUUUCUUAGAAAUCAUUAAUUGAAUGAUAAAAUAAACAAUUUGUACUUUAUUAAAUUCAUGGGAGUCUGUGUUGAACUUUACAUUUUUUUGAGAACUACAGCAAAUGUUACUUCUGUUCCUUAAGAAAAAUUCAGUGUAUAUAUAACCAAAUUAUUUUCUUGAAAAAGAAAAGCUUAAUGUUCUAGUUGUAAUGUUCAAAUUUGUCUCUUAAUAUUUUUCUAGAUUUUCAAUGUUAUUUUUAAUAUUUAUAAAUGACUCUAGCCUAUUUACUUGAUCAUGGCCUUAUUAUAGUAACUUAUUUCUGAAUUUUGAGUUGCUACAUGAACUUGAAAAUAACUUGUUUCUUUAAUUAAAAAAAAAAUUUCUACUUUCUUUAAUUUAGACUGGCCUGUCAUUUAUUCAAGAAUUCUGAGUUUGGUUUGACAGCCUCAGCUUGAAGUCAUUUUAUUAUCCCCAUUCUACUCAAUCUACCCUACGUUACAAGCAACUGACUAUUGUGCUUUGAUUACUAUAAAUUAGUUUUGUGUGUCUUUGAACUUUGUAUAAAGGGAAUAUUCUUUUGCUUCUGGUUUCUUUUACUGAGCAUAGUGUUUUUGAGGUUCAUCUGUGUUCCAUGUUUCAGUAGUUUUGUUCUCUUUUAUUGCUGAGUAGUUUAAUGUGAAUAUACUAUAUUUUAUUUAGUCUUGACAGUUUCCAGUUGGUGCUAUUAUGAAUAAAGUUGCUGUGAGUAGUCACUUACACGUUCAUCUCUCAUGGGAAAAUAUUUAAGGGUGGAAUUGCUGAUCAGCUUCUUAGGAACUGCCAAAUAUUUCAAAGCAUUUGUACUAUUUAUACUCCCAUGAGCAAGGUAUAAGAUUUCUUUGCUCUAUGUCCUUGUCAACGUAUGGUAUUGUCAGUCUUGUUAAUGUUAAGCCAUUCUGUUAAGUAUGUAGAUGUGCGUUGUGUUUUUAAAAUUAGCAUUUCCCUGAAAAACUGCUGAUGUUGUGUAACUUUGUAUACACUUUUUAGGCAUUCAGAUACCUACUUUUGUGAAGUACUGUUGCAUUUCCCUUUCUCACCAUAAUUGCUAUUUCACUGGGUUGUAUGGUUUCAUUGCCAUCUGAUGUAAAACUCACUGAUAAACUUACUGUAACCUGUAUUAUAAAAAUGAAUUUUAGUAUGCGUAGUAUUUAAAUUUUGAAAAACCAGUUGUUAGGAAUCUGGAAUUGUUCAUAUCAUGGAUUUUUGCUGCUUGCUAAAUAUCAGCUGAGAUUGAUGGAAAUUAUUUAUUAAAUAACUGAACUUUUAUUAUGGUAUCUUAUUUGGCCCAUUUGGGUGGCAGACCCAAGGAUUUGAUAGAAAAUCAAAACCUUUGUUAGUGUUUUUUAUUACUUUUAUUUUCAUUCCCAAACAGGGUCAUGUGAAAAUUUUUUUUUUAUUGUGAACUUUAACAUAUAUACAUAACAGUGAUAACUUUCAAAGUACGAUUUCACGAGUAGUUAGCAAAUUUCAAAGAAUGUCAGUGGUCACAGUUCCACAACUUCAGCCAUUUCUGUUGUAAAAUAUACAGAAAAGUGUCAUCUCUCAAUGUGCAGCUCAACAAGCAGUAAUAUAGGGUAUUACAAAAAUUAUUAUGGAUUGCAGUUCCACAAUUUCAGUUCUUCCCUUAUGCAAUGCAAGGCAUAUACAGAAAGGUGAAGACCUUCAACGCACAAUUCAAUGAGCAGUUACAGAGCAAAUCCCAAAGGAUUUAGUUUAGGCUGUAGUUGCACCAUGUCAUUUGCCUCCUUUCAGCCAUUCCAAUACUCCAGCAUCCAAAAAUAUAGUUUCAGUAUUCAUAGUCCUUUGUUAAAUCUUAGCUUGCUCGUUGCUACCCCUUCCUCUCAGUCUUUCUCCCUCUUCAGGGGUGUUUAGGCAGUGAGCACCUAACUUUUUCAUAAUGAAAGGGGGUGUUGACAGUAGGGGAAGGGGGCCACAUCUAAUAGUUGAUCUUAAAAGAGUGUUGCCUCUGGUUUUAGGACUUGUCUGGUAUAGGAGCACCCUAGCGGAUUUACAUUUCUCAUAAACAUUCAGAGAAAAUUUUGUUUUAUCCUUGUAAUAACAUUGUCCACUUAAUUGUUCAAUUAAUUGAACUUGUAUUCUGAUAUGAAAUGUCAUUUGUUGAUUAGUUGAAAUCAUAUUACAUCACAAAGCAGGAUGACCUUGAGGAUAUUUUGUUGAGUAUGUAAAAGGGUUUGUUGUUUUUGUGGGCAUUUUCUCAAGUUUCCUUCGAAAAUGAUUACCUUUGAAUUUUGGGACUUGAGUUUUCUGAUAUAUCAUUGGCUUAAUCACACCCUAUUCUGUUCUUUUGUUUUAAAGGUGUAUUCUUUUUUACUUAAAGGGAAUAUAGUAAACAACAAUGGAAUAAAAUACUUCAGUGAAGAUUAUCCCGCAUAUUUUCUUCUAUUGUGAAUUGCCUGCAAUAGCAUUUGGUUUACUUAUUGCUGUCCCAGCCAGUAUUGUGGUCUGUGCCUUUGUCCCAAAGGCAGAGGGUCAAAAUAAGUUGUGAACACUGUUCUGUAGAUGACCUACCUUGUCGGUAAUGUUUGAUAACGUGGAAAUUGCCCCCCCCCCCCCCAUCUACGCCUUGCAUACUUCAGAACAUGUUUCUUGAAAGGGAACCCCUGCUAUGUAAUAAUGGGCAUACUAUUCAAAUACGAUUUCUUAUGGCUCCACAUCAGGACUCGGCUUCAGAGGAAAUUGCUUUUAGGUAGAUUUAUAGUAAGGCAUUUUGAAGACAUGAGUUAUUAAAAUCUUGUAUCUUGAGUUUUCAAAAUUUGUAUUGUAAUUUUAUUUAAAAAUUACCUAAAAUCGCUCAGCCCCUGCUCUAGUGAAUAUUAUGUUUUCUAUAUUCCAUGUCUUUUUUUUUCAUUUCUAAGAUAAUUGAGGAGCUGCCGCGCCCCUCUGGCGGGAAUGAACUCAAGCUGAUGACUGACAGCCUUCAAUGGGCAGUACAGCAGUGCAAUCCUGCGUGUCCCUCCCCUUUUCUGGGAGGGACAUAAAGUAGGGCAUGUUCCCUCCCCAUUUCCAGUCAAACAAUAGCUGUAUGUAACCCAUCCUUCCCCACCCCCUCAAGCUAUUUUCGAAUGGGUCAGCUCCCAAGCUGGGACUCCCUAGGGAGGUUGGGGAGGAUGCAUACAUUCCUUUCUUAUAAUGUACUACUUUUAUUUAUAUAAUUUUUUGCAUAAUACACAUCAUAUGUAAUAUAUUAAUGAUAGUAGACUUGUGUACUCUGUGGAAAGGGUACCUUCACUCUUCAAGGCGGGGAGACUUGUUAGGUGAGAAUUGAGGAAAGCAUUUAGCAAAGUAGACUCUUUUAAGAGAAAGUUUUUAAAAUUAGCAGAUUCAAAAAAUUUUCGAGUGUUGAUUCUAAUACCAGAAGAUAAAACUUGGCUGAAUUUUACAUCAGUUGAUGUUCUUUGAGGAAAUAUGGGGCAUUUUUGAAGUAAACGCACAAUUCUUUUACUGAGUGGAAACAAUCCAGUGAGGUAAAUGGUAUCCUUUUUAGCUUGUUGCUGUCAACAUUUCUUGACAAAAGUUUUUGAAAGAAAAAGAUGUUAACACUUCUGUUUUGGGUUAUUAAAAUUUGCAGUUUUUAAAGGCUAUAUUUGAUACUUUAUUCCUAGGUUGAUAAAGAGAACAUGGAUGAAGCUAACUGAAAUUUGGUUUCCAGUGUAACUCAGAAGAGAGCAGGAAUGUUGGAAUCAUGUUUCUUUUCAGCGUAAUAGGAACCAAGGAGCAUCAGCGUCACCCGGAGCUUCUUUGAAAAGGAAUCUCAGGAUAUAGUAGAUCUACUGAAUCAAAAUCUGCAUUUAACAAGGUCCCAAGGAUUUACUGGUUGAAUCAUUUUGUGGAAGAAAUGCUUUUAAUGAUAACAGGAGAAACAAUCCAGAAAGGAAGUAUUUUAUUUGUGAAUUUAUUACUCCAUAUAAACAGUUUAUCGUUAUAUGAGAAAUCAAAACAGUUUACAUUUAAAAAUAUGCCUCAGGUGCAUUUUUUGUCAUUAAAAUUUCUGGAAUAGUGCAAAUUUAAGUUUCUAUUUUCCUUUUUUUUUAAAAAGUAAAUUUUUGAAGUAUGAUAUUAGCCAUCCCUUGGUGCAGUGGUGUUCUUGCUAGUUAAUGUCGGAAGGUAUUAUGUUAGGAGCCCACAAAUUCAGCUGAACAAUACCCUUUUCAACUCCCUGUAACUGGUAGUCAUUAGAGGGAUUUUUAUUAUUUCUGUGCAGCUCUCAAUUUUGGGUCAGUCCUUUAGGACUCUGGUAAGGAACUCAUAAUAGAAAUUUGUCAUUGUUGUGAGAGAAAUCACAUGACUUUUGCCCCAAGGAAAUUAAUUAAAGGGGGUACAUGAGUAUCCAUGUGAGGACUGUGGAGAAUCCAGGUGUAUCUUUUAUCUGGCUAUAAAGUUGUUUAGAGCGAUGUGGCUGACAACUGUAAUCCUGGAAGGUACCUAAAUGUAAGAUUACUAGCACGCCUGGCACAAAACUGGUAAAAGUUGAGCUCUAGACCGCUCUACCCCAAGUUAUCACAUAUUCUCACAUUUUUCUUUCCUAAUUCUCCUUCAGUCCAACCAACUUGGCACACUUUUACAAGUUCACCUUUUUGUUCACCUUUCUUCCUCCAGUCUCAUACUUGCUGAUUUCCUAUCUCUCAAAGUAUACUCCUAAAGAAAUGGUUAGGCUCUCUCUCGGGUUUAUAUCUUUAUCAUCGCUCCUUGUCUAAUGUGUGUUAUCCUUUAGCACAUUCCUGUAAGGCUGGUCCUAUUCUGGGCAUGAUUCUGAGAUAAACCAAAUUUUAUGUGUAAUUGACCAGGGGUACUAUUGUCUCCCCUAGUGCCCCUGUCUCUGCACUGUUGCUAACUCAUGUCUCUUAACUUCUUUUCUUCCAGAAAGCAAUGAAGUCAGAUUCAGUACUAGUACAUGAUACAUUAGUUGAAAAAGCCCAAUCCCAAUUGCCAUCUAUAUAGAAAAAUAUAUUUUUAGGUGUCUACCUUGUUAUAAGUCAUGAGACUCCAGAUACAAUGGGAAGAAAAAGAUCACCAUUGUGGUGUUUUAUUGAGUAAGCUGUAGGAAAAAUCUUAAGUGUUUGCAAAAUAUUUCUUAAAAGAAUGAAGAAGUUAUAUACACUUGUGGGCAAUAAUUUCACACAGAGACAAGAGUAACCAGCACAGCAAGGUAUGGCUGGAGUUAAAAGCCUUUCAGAUUUUUUUCAAAGUAAGGGCACAGGAUCUGCCUUUUCACUUUUACUUGAUGGAGUCCAAAAACAAGGGAUAAAUGUUUCCAAUUAAUAAACUGCUGCAAUUUUGUUAUCUGCCUACCUUUGGAUAGGCAAAUUUUUUUGCUCAGGAUCUGUGGCAGCUGUAUAUAAGAAACAGAUCAUAAUUACCUUCUUCUUCCCCAAGUUAAGUCUACUUCAAGAGCAGCAAGUUUACAACCUUGGUAAUCUGAAUGUAACAUACCUCCCUUGCUGUAAGGAAACAGAAUCUUUACACUUCAGUAGAAAACUUCAAGAUACAAAACAAAGAUUCUCUUUAAUCUUUUUAAUCUUUCCACAUUGUGGAAAAACUGAAAUAGGCAGUCUGAACACCAAAACAUUAGAUUUCAGAAUACUGGCACAAAAACGUCCAUCUAUAUUUACAAUAUAUCAGAACUCUGUACCAUUUUAUAUUCUACAAUGACAGGCCUUAGAAUUCAAGAGGCUUACACAUGACUCUUUCCAUAUGACUGUUAGAUGUGCCAAACUGCUUCCAAAAGAGUACUUAGAAAUUGCUCUGAAAAUAACUCCAUCAUAAUCCUGUUUGGUCACUGCAGCUGCACUCUAUAUGCACCAAUUAGCAACUUAACCUAGGGAGAGAAAAAUUACAAAUAUAUCAGGUACAGAAGUAAAUAACUCCCUUUUCUGGAAGGAGAAUUAAAAAAACAUAGCCAAGACAUACUUCUCUUACUUGGCAAUAUUUCAACUUUGUGGUGUUUCUACUGUUAGGUAAUCAAUAUUUUAAUAAAAAGAAAUUCCAAGUACUUAUAAUUUUGAUUUUAGCCCAUUAUAUAUUAUUAGUUAAACUUUGUUUUACAAAGGAAGGUUAGCUGAAUGACCCAAUGUAAUGGUUGUUAAAAAUACCAAAGCCUCUGACAGACCUCUUUUCUAUGGAUGCAUUCUCAAUUUUUAACAUCAGUCUUGAAACACUUCCUUGUGUUUAACAGAGUCUAGAUUCAGACUAACAGUUGCACUAGAUUUGCUACUCCCUAGGGAGUACCUGUCUCUAGUACAUACUACUUUCCACAGAGACUAAGGAGCACAUUCUUGAAAAAAUUUUAACAAUAAUCUGUGUAACAACUUGAGUAGUAACACUAACUAGAAGGAAAAAAUUUUCACCUUAGCAGAGGGUGCUUCUGUCAACCUCAUAAAGAGUUUAUUGAUGCCUGCAACAGGACUGAACGAAUAAACAAAAUGACUAUCCUAAGGUAGAAAAAGACAAAGUCAGUAUUUCUUCAGAGAAAUCUCUACAUCUACAAAGUGUUACAACCUUGUUUUGUUGGAGACCAGAAACCUUUCACACAAAUGACUUAGAAUUUAUACAGUCAUACAAAUUUUUUGUUGGUUUGCAUAUAAAGGUUUGCUAUGAUUUAACUUUUCCUCAAUUUAUUAAAAAUAUGCAAAUGACAAACAGGCAAAUGAUUUAUCUAGCAAAACAAUACCAAGAUAAAUCUUUGGGCUUAGAAUGCAUUAAGAGUAUUAAAAAUAUUAACAGGUACUUCAGUAUAAGGAAAGAAUUUUAAAUGUGGCAGAAGUUUUACACACUAAUUUGAUUAUUACAUAUUUUUAUUUUACAAUGAACUUUUAAAAAUCAAAAUUACAAUUAUUUAAAAUUAUGUACUGAAACUAAGCAUAGUGAUUGUACUUAGGUAUUGAAAGCAUGAAUAAACUUAAUAAAAUAAAAUAAAUAAUGUUGGUUCUAAGACAUUAUGGCAAGCAUAAUUUAAGGCACAAGAUUUUUAUAUGUAAAAUGUAGGGUAAGUUUACUUUAUGAUUAUGGGUUAUUUCUUCCCUCCCAACCACUGUUUUAGUGAAUUUAAUGACUUUUAUUAAAACAGGAAUUUUUAAAAAGGCAUCAUAAAUGAUCUAUGCUUUUGAUUAGAAUUGAUUUUUCAGUACUGAACAACUACAGAAAAUCUUACCAGAAAAACAGGAAGUUGAAAUUUGUCAUUUAAAACUACAGCUUGUACACUGCAUGGUCCACAGAGCCGGGCAAUGACUUCUUUACCCACAAAGUUUGCGUGAAAAAUGAACAGCAGGAUACCAGAGCCUGAAUGAGGGAGAUGCAAACAUAAGUUUCCUUACAAAGAAACAAUCAUACCCAGGCUAGUGUGUUCCUAGAAGAUUGUGGAGGAAAGAGCAUUUAAUAAAAGGGGAAGGGGUUGCCUGAUAGAAGCCUGGGUAACAAAACACCCUUUAGUAAUCACUGAAGUAAUGAAUCGCUAUCGAUAGCUCAUGCAACUCACUUAACUAUGCUUUUCUAAAAGUUACUUUUGUUGUUUUUACAAAACUGGUACUUAAAUGCUGUUGCUGAAUAAAAUGUCCAUGGACGUUUUAUUCACUUCUACAGUGGUCAUCCUUGGGCAGGAUCAUGCAAUUUCCAUCUUCUACCAUUGUUUGGCCUCUUCUAGAUAAUUUUCUGGUUAAUUGUUUUGAACAAAUGUUUGUUAGUGUGAGACUUAAAGUGUUUAUUGGAUAUCAUUUUCUGAACAAUAGGCCAGUGAUCAGCAAAAGGAGACCAUUUGCUUUAUUUGUUCUUGUCCCAGGAAAAGGGGAGACUAGAACCCAUGUCUUUUAACCUCUCUUCUGUCAAGCUAUUCAGGCUUUGACACUGCUUUUGUUCUCUAACAAACGUCCCCGCCCAGAGCACUGCUAGAAAAGGCAAAAAUGUUGGGACAAUCUCAAGUCUCCUUCCUUUCAGCUCCACUAUGAAACACUCAAUGGGAUGCAAGGCUGCACGAGGCUGAAAGACUGAGGAUCCUGAUAUUCCUGGUCUAGACAGGACAGGUGGGGCUAACACCGGGACCAGAUGGGACCUGAGGGUUAGCACUGAGACCCUGCUACAAAGUCCCCUCAAGGUUAAAUGUAUAUUUCUACCAACCAAAACAAGUUAGUCUAAGGGAGAUGUUUCACUGGCCAGUUUUACUGACAAAUUACUAUUUAUAUAAUAAAGCUUCUAAGAGUUUUUAUGAGUUUAACAGCCAAACCCCCUCAACUGGUCAGCAUCAGUGUUUCUUAAGCUUUGUGUUUACAAAUCACCUGGAAGUCUUGCUAUAUGGUAUAAGGCGUGAUUCAGGAGGUCUGGGGUUGGCAUCUCAGAAUCUACAUUUCUAACAAGUGCCCAAAUGCUGCUGAUGUUGCUCAUCUGCAGAGCCCUGCUAUGAAAAGCAGAGUAGGAAAUGUAUCAGCAUCUCCUAUUUGAGGAUGACAAGGCAUCUCUGUGGGAUGAGACUGCAAAGAAUAGAAGUUUUGGUGGUUGCAGACCCAGAAAAAGCUGUGUAACUCCAAAUCUCUCCAGGCACAGUAUAUAAUACUUGAGUAAACGAGUUACUAGGCACAUGGAGUUGCAUGUGCACAGAUUAAACAAGUGGCCUGUCCCAGGUACUACUGCUUGCUUGCCUACCUGGCAUUGCUACGAGCCAGUUGGAGGGUGGGGAUUUUGUAACAAAACAGAGAAGGCAGAGCCCACCUUCCUGCCUUCAGUCAGAGGUGGAGUGUUUAUCUCCACUUGGUAUCUGCAGCAUGUGUCCCAGAGGUGGCAUGAUUUUGCCUUAAAAAGCUGUUAAGCAGAGGCUAGGAAGCAGAACUGAAGUUGCCUUCUCUUGCCCCAAAACGAACAUCCAUAAAUACUAUCCUUUCCUCACUGUCACUUGAUUUUUAGUGAGUUUUGACAAAAGUGCUUUAUGAACUGCCUCAAAAAUCACUUGGGUGUUGGCUCUGAGGGUCUCUUGGUGGUAACUAUCUAAAUCAUUAUACCUAAUGGAAUAUCCUUAAGGUUUUGUUCAAAGAAAGGGUUCUGACUAAAUAUCAGUUAAUAUUUACAGUGUUACAUUUAAAGCAGAGAGAAAGCAGAUUUACCUUCUGGUAUGUUCUGUGGUGGUUUAUAAUUGAAAUCUGUUGAAAAAUCUGGCCCCUCACAGAGACGAUGACAAGCUAUCGGAAAAACUGGUUCUAGCAGAGUAAGACGCUCUUCGAAGUACUCCUUUAUCGUCUGUUCUGUUACUCUUGAAAGUCUUUAAUAUAAAUUAGUAAAAGUUGGGAAUAUUAAUGGAGAAAAUAACCAUGAGCCAUAAAUUUAUUAUACUACUGUAAGAUCUAACCUGAACAAACAUCUUAUAAAAACUGCAGCCCAGCCCUCAUCCUGCUCACCUGAUUUUUUUUAAAUCUUCAUUUUAUUGAGAUAUAUUCACAUACCACGCAGUCAUACAAAUCGUACAUUCGAUUGUUCACAGUACUAUUACAGUUGUACAUUCAUCACCUAAAUC
Choloepus didactylus (southern two-toed sloth) is the source of this 10097-nucleotide long non-coding RNA. RefSeq lists it as uncharacterized. Lineage: Eukaryota; Metazoa; Chordata; Mammalia; Pilosa; Megalonychidae. The transcript has 3 exons. The record is from RefSeq and is a predicted model, not a curated record.